This is a non-coding RNA of Puma concolor (puma), 986 nucleotides long. The record is from RefSeq and is a predicted model, not a curated record. Lineage: Eukaryota; Metazoa; Chordata; Mammalia; Carnivora; Felidae.
UCCUCUAUCGAAGAUCUAGGUCACUAGUGGAUUAUGAAAAUGCUAACAAAGCACUGGAUAAAGCAAGAGCGAAAAAUAAAGAUGUUCUUCAGGCUGAGACAUCCCAACAAUUAUGUUGUCAGAAAUUUGAAAAAAUAUCUGAAUCUGCAAAACAAGAACUUAUAGAUUUUAAGACGAGAAGAGUUGCCGCAUUCAGAAAAAAUUUAGUGGAACUGGCAGAGUUAGAACUGAAGCAUGCAAAGGGUAACCUACAGUUGCUGCAGAACUGCUUGGCAGUGUUAAAUGGAGACACAUAAGCCACACUCCGCCUUUGGUUAAAAAGGGCUGCCUUCCUUCAGAUUUUAUUUUUGUUUUCUUAAUGAGAUUAGGCAUUUACUGCUCACCGGAAACAAAAGAAACAGCUGACCAAGUGCAUCUACUCUCCUUUUUUUCUGAGAAGCCAUGGAGCGGUGCCGUCCACGGGUUUUGCGGGUCCGUCCGUCUGUGUGGUGGAACGCUGCCCUCCUGCAGCUCCCCGUGUGCUGCCUGGGACGGUUGUCCAUCACCGUGCGCUCCUCCUCUUCCGAAGCCCAGCGUUCAGUCCUUUUUUAAGUAGCCUCUGUAACUGUCUUUAUUUUCUGAAUAGCGUUCCUUAUGGCUGCCAAUCUUAUUUCCCUUUAAGUAAUUUCUGAUGUUUAACCCUUUCAAAGAUGCAUUGUUCAGACAAGAUAAAGGUUGCCAUUACCUUUUGUUUUCUUUUGGUGUUUUUGUUAUGUUUUGUUUUGUUUUUUUAAAAACAUUGUAUGCCACCUUAGUUCAUCCAUGUAUCCUGGUAAAAGCAUCUUAAUCAGACUUAUUUUUAAUUAAUGAACAUUUCUUAGAAGUUUUGGGACAGACUUUAUGUAAUCUUUGUAAGUAUGAUUUCUGAUGAAAAGCGACUGCAUUAGUAUGUUUGCCUUAAACUUGUAGACUAAACCGACUAUUGUCAAAUAAACCGUGGUAACAGU